UACAGAGUCUUCAAUCUCUUUCAUUACAAAGUGGUUGAAACCGUGGAUGUGCAGUUCGAUGAGACAAAUGGUUCACAAAGAGAGCAACUGCCAAAUGUGCUAGAUGAAGUUCCAGCUAGUGGAUCAAUCAAGCUUAUGGGAACUGGAGAGAUUAUACCUUCUGAAGCUCAUCCUGAAGAAGAACUUAUCAUCUCAGCACCUGAUCAACAUGAAGACAAUGCUCAGCCUGAAGACAUUUCUCCCAACAACAACCCAGAUCAGCAAGAGCAAAGUCUUCACCCUGUACAUCCUCGUGUUGCCAAUGAAGUGCAGAUUGACAGAAUAAUUGACAGCAUCAAUGCACCUGGUCCACUCACUCGUUCAAGGGCAACUCAGCUAGCAAAUUUCUGUGGGCACUUCGCAUUCGUAUCAAUAUCAGAACCCAAGAAAGUUGAAGAAGCCUUCAUGGAACCUGAAUGGAUUCAAGCUAUGCAAGAAGAGCUUCAACAGUUUGAGCUGAAUAAUGUAUGGGAACUGGUCAAGCGUCCUGAUCCAUGGAAGCACAACAUAAUAGGCACCAAAUGGAGAUACCGCAACAAGCAAGAUGAGCAUGGUCAAGUUGUCAGAAACAAAGCUCGUCUCGUUGCUCAAGGAUAUACUCAAGUGGAGGGCAUUGACUUCGAUGAAACAUUUGCUCCUGUGGCUAGGCUUGAAGCCAUACGCAUACUGCUGGCCUAUGAAAAUCAUCAUAACAUACUUCUAUAUCAAAUGGAUGUGAAAAGUGCCUUUCUCAAUGGCAAGAUUGAAGAAGAAGUGUAUGUUGCACAACCGCCUGGUUUUGAAAAUCCAAAACAUCCUGACAUGGUAUACAAGCUCAACAAGGCACUGUAUGGCCUCAAACAAGCCCCUAGGGCCUGGUAUGACACACUCAAAUACUUCCUGAAGAGCAAAGGCUUCAUACCUGGUUUCCUGGAUCCCACUCUUUUCACGAAGACAUAUGAUGGUGAACUGUUUGUGUGCCAAAUAUAUGUGGAUGACAUUAUCUUCGGCUGCACCAAUCAGAAGUACAGUGAAGAGUUUGGAUAUAUGAUGCAGGAGCAAUAUCAGAUGUCCAUGAUGGGGGAACUGAAGUUCUUCCUUGGUCUUCAAAUACGACAACAACUCAAUGGCAUCUUCAUAUCUCAAGAGAAGUAUCUCAAAGAUUGCCUGAAGAAGUUCGGUAUGCAAGACUGCAAAGGCUUCACAACACCAAUGCCAGCCAAACAUCAUCUAGGUCCUGACGACAAUGGUAAAGAGUUCGAUCAAAAGGUAUACUGCUCCAUAAUUGGUUCUUUG
This 1314-nucleotide ribosomal RNA is filed under the name Triticum aestivum (bread wheat). RNAcentral describes it as "partial small subunit ribosomal RNA". The record is from RNAcentral. Lineage: Eukaryota; Viridiplantae; Streptophyta; Magnoliopsida; Poales; Poaceae.